RNAcentral lists this ribosomal RNA (488 nucleotides) under uncultured bacterium. Its description in RNAcentral is "partial 16S ribosomal RNA". It matches the Rfam family "Bacterial small subunit ribosomal RNA", at positions 30 to 507 of the family's 1533-position model. The record is from RNAcentral.
UUGAACGCUGGCGGCAGGCCUAACCCAUGCAAGUCGAACGGUAACAGGAAGAAGCUUGCUUCUUUGCUGACGAGUGGCGGACGGGUGAGUAAUGUCUGGGAAACUGCCUGAUGGAGGGGGAUAACUACUGAAACGGUAGCUAAUACCGCAUAAUGUCGCAAGACCAAAGAGGGGGACCUUCGGGCCUCUUGCCAUCGGAUGUGCCCAGAUGGGAUUAGCUAGUAGGUGGGGUAACGGCUCACCUAGGCGACGAUCCCUAGCUGGUCUGAGAGGAUGACCAGCCACACUGGAACUGAGACACGGUCCAGACUCCUACGGGAGGCAGCAGUGGGGAAUAUUGCACAAUGGGCGCAAGCCUGAUGCAGCUAUGCCGCGUGUAUGAAGAAGGCCUUCGGGUUGUAAAGUACUUUCAGCGGGGAGGAAGGGAGUAAAGUUAAUACCUUUGCUCAUUGACGUUACCCGCAGAAGAAGCACCGGCUAACUCCGUG